Molecule: long non-coding RNA, 450 nt
Organism: Etheostoma spectabile (orangethroat darter)
Lineage: Eukaryota; Metazoa; Chordata; Actinopteri; Perciformes; Percidae
Exons: 3
Source: RefSeq, a predicted model, not a curated record
GGGUCACUGGGUUAGUCUGGGUCACUAGGUUAGUCUGGGCCACUACGUUAGUCUGGGUCACUAGGUUAGUCUGGAUCACUAGGUUAGUCUGGGUCACUGGGUUAGUCUGGAUCACUAGGUUAGUCUGGGUCACUAGGUUAGUCUGGGUCACUGGGUUUGUCUGGAUCACUUGGUUAGUUUGGGCCACUAGGUUAGUCUGGGUCACUAGUCUAGUCUGGGUCACUGGGUUAGUCUGGGCCACUGGAUUAGUCUGGAUCACUAGGUUAGUCUGGGUCAAUGGGUUAGUCAGGAUCACUAGGUUAGUCUGGGUCACGAGGUUAGUCUGGAUCACUAGGUUAGUCUGGGUCACUGGGUUAGUCUGGGUCACUAGGUUAGUCUGGAUCACUAGGUUAGUCUGGGUCACUAGGUUAGUCUGGGUCACUAGGUUAGUCUGGAUCACUAGGUUAGUCC